UAAACAAUCGGCUGUACACCGAUUGAAAGAAGUGCCCUGAAGUAAAUAUUUUGUGCAAAUUCAAGCUUGAACGAUAAAGUUAUUUUUGGAGCUCUGUGUAAUUGUUUCUAAACAAUCUGCUGUGCACUUUUUUUUUGUUGGAGCUUUGAAACAAGCGUAUGUGUAGUGUAUUUUAAACACACGGAUGUGUAAAUUCGAGUUCGGAAGUUAAAGUGAUUUAUUUCGAAAAACGUAUCUUUUUCCAGUUACUACCAAAUUAUGGAAUGGACCGUGGAGAGGUUUUAAAGUGAUAACACUAUAUAGACAAUUUCCAUUGAAAAAAAUGCGUGGGAAGAAAUUUCAAAAAACCUUAAUAAAUCUACCGAUGAUACUAAAAAAAAAUUAAAAACCUGAGAUCAGCAUAUGUAAUGGAGAAAAAAAGAUGGAUAAAUCCAAAAAAUCUGGAUCAACAGUAGAUGAUAUCUACAGACCCCAUUUAUACUAUUUUCAAGAAAUGCGUUUUUUAGAUAACGUUGUUGUAUUAAUUUUUCUUCGAAUAUAUGUGAAAAGGAAGUAAUUGAACUUACCCCAGAAACAGUGAAUACGGAAUUUUACGAAUACAGCCAAGAAAGCUUCUCCGACAUUUCCUUAAACGAAACGCCAACAACAUCCACAAAAUCAAAGACCAAAAAAAUUAAACUUGAAAGGGGCAAAAAAAUUAAUUCAGCGCUAGAUAAAAUAUUAUUCAACUGUGAAGAAAAAGAUACAAUGUUUUCAAGUUUCGGAAAAUCUGUGGAACUUCAACUGUCUGAAAUGUCUUUAAUUUCAGCCACAAAAGCUAUGGCAGAAAUUCAGUUGGUGUUAUCAAAAUUUAUGGAAGCAGAAUCCAAAAGCAAUAUCUUAGAAAAAGCUAUUUGUAAUUCCGAAAUAUUCUAAUUAUUUUUAAUUUAUGUAUCGUCACCUAAAACGCAAACGGCCCUAUCUAACAUUUUUAAAAUUUUACGCGAUUUAUUUCUUGUAAAUAAACAAAUUGUUUAAUAGUGAAAGCUAUCAUUUGUUUUGAUAGUUGACAAUGUCGUUUAUAAAAAUGGAUAAAUGGGACUUUUUACCUUUAAUAUUUAAAUGUUUCGCCUUUUGUUUUGUGCAAAUAAAUUCAAUAAUUUUGGUAGGCUUUUCGUUUGAUGUAUUACAUAAGAAUCGAUUUUGAAAUUUUUCCCCUUUGCGUUUCAGGUGACGAUAUGUAGCAAAACCGACAAAUGAAAUCUAUAAAUGAAUACCUUUAUAUGUAUCACAAAUUAACAAAGUCAGUAGUUCGCUGCGCGAAGUGUGUACUAAUUUGAAUUACAUAUAUGUAUACUAAUGUGUGUACCUGCAUUAUGUUUUUAUAUAAUUAAUUUUUAUAUAAUUAAGUACUUUGAAUAAGUUUCCACUUCACAAACUUUUGCUAAAUUUAAUUCAUGUAUAUUACAUUAACAUUUAUUAAAUUUAUAUUGUAAAGUCUUUAAAAAACUUAGACUGACGU
This is an RNA transcript of Lucilia cuprina (Australian sheep blowfly), 1501 nucleotides long. RefSeq lists it as uncharacterized. The record is from RefSeq and is a predicted model, not a curated record. The transcript is spliced from 2 exons. Lineage: Eukaryota; Metazoa; Arthropoda; Insecta; Diptera; Calliphoridae.